This 453-nucleotide ribosomal RNA is filed under the name uncultured eukaryote. RNAcentral describes it as "bacterial SSU rRNA". It matches the Rfam family "Eukaryotic small subunit ribosomal RNA", at positions 1211 to 1667 of the family's 1831-position model. The record is from RNAcentral.
AAACUCACCAGGUCAGGACGACGGUAAGGAUUGACGGACGUGAAGGCUCUUUCUCGAUUCCGUGGAAAGUGGUGCAUGGCCGUUUUUGGUUGGUGGAUCGAUCCGUCUGGUUAAUUCCGUUAACGAACGAGACCUCGGCACUCCGAAUAGCGCGGCGGACGUCGCGGCCUCCGGGCCGUCUUCCGCACGAGCUUCUUAGAGGGACCGUCCCCCGCCGGGGAAGGAGGUGCGAGGCAACGACAGGGUCUGUGAUGCCCCUUAGAUGUUCUGGGGCCGCACGCGCAUUACACUGACGCGUCCAACGGGUGACUCCCGACCCGAAGGGGCCGGGGAAUCCGCAAGGCGCGUCGUGAUGGGGAUUGAACGUUGCAAUUGUUGUUCACGAACGAGGAAUUCCUAGUAGGCGCGGGGUCAUCAACCCCGCGCCGAUUUACGUCCCUGCCCUUUGUACAC